AAGUCGUAACAAGGUUUCCGUAGGUGAACCUGCGGAAGGAUCAUUACAGAGUUCAUGCCCUUUAGGGUAGAUCUCCAUCCUUGCUUAACUUACAACGUUGCUUUGGCAGGCCGCUCGUGAGACCACCGGCCCCGGCUGGUGUGUGCCUGCCAGAGGACCCAACAACUCAAGUAUCUAGCGUCGUCUGAGAAAUAAACAUAAUAUUUAAAA
RNAcentral lists this unclassified non-coding RNA (210 nucleotides) under plant metagenome. RNAcentral describes it as "partial contains small subunit ribosomal RNA and internal transcribed spacer 1". The stretch from base 1 to 46 matches the Rfam family "Eukaryotic small subunit ribosomal RNA", at positions 1786 to 1831 of the family's 1831-position model. The record is from RNAcentral.